RNAcentral lists this ribosomal RNA (418 nucleotides) under uncultured bacterium. RNAcentral describes it as "bacterial SSU rRNA". It matches the Rfam family "Bacterial small subunit ribosomal RNA", at positions 917 to 1333 of the family's 1533-position model. The record is from RNAcentral.
GGACCCGCACAAGUAGUGGAGCAUGUGGUUUAAUUCGAAGAUACGCGCAGAACCUUACCAACACUUGACAUGUUCGUCGCGACUUUAAGAGAUUAGAGUUUUCGGUUCGGCCGGACGAAACACAGGUGCUGCAUGGCUGUCGUCAGCUCGUGUCGUGAGAUGUUGGGUUAAGUCCCGCAACGAGCGCAACCCUCACUUUUAGUUGCCAUCAUUAAGUUGGGCACUCUGAAAGAACUGCCAGUGAUAAGCUGGAGGAAGGUGGGGAUGACGUCAAGUCCUCAUGGCCCUUACGUGUUGGGCUACACACGUGCUACAAUGGUAUCUACAACAGGAAGCAAGACUGCGAAGUUAAGCAAAUCCCUAAAAGAUACCUCAGUUCGGAUUGCACUCUGCAACUCGACUCCGUGAAGCUGGAAUC